This is a long non-coding RNA of Gossypium arboreum, 356 nucleotides long. RefSeq lists it as uncharacterized. Lineage: Eukaryota; Viridiplantae; Streptophyta; Magnoliopsida; Malvales; Malvaceae. The record is from RefSeq and is a predicted model, not a curated record. The transcript is spliced from 2 exons.
GUGACAAAUUUCCGCAACCAUAUUCCAUGGUUUGAUGCCUUGUAGUAAACUACAAACUCUGCUGCCAUAGUGGAUGAAGCUACAAGUGUCUGUUUGACACUUUUUCAAGAUAUGGCUCCUCUAGCUAAUAGAUUUUGGAAGCUAGUUACGAGUUCAGGGAUCGUCAAGGAUCGAUCGUUGUUUUGGUAUUUUAAAAGCUUGAAUUAUGAACUUAUGGCAUGUAUAGGCUAGCAUAUGUUUUGGUUGGUUUUGAAAUUGUAAAUAUAAAGCCAUGCGAAAAUGGCUAGAAAUGAUGCUUAUGAUUAUGUAGUUUUGAUCAUGAUAUAUGUUCAUGUGGGGAAUAAGGUUUCAUGGUA